GACGAACGCUGGCGGCGUGCUUAACACAUGCAAGUCGAACGGAAAGUCCCCGUUGAGUGUACUCGAGUUGCGUACGGCGGAGUAACACGCGAGUAACCUGCCCUUAACUUCGCGAUAACUGCAUGAAACUGGGGCUAAUACUUGGUAGGAAUCCUUUCUGGCUGUUGGGUGUUGGAACGCUUCGGCGGUUUUGGAUUGAGUCGCGGCUCAUCCGCUUGUUGGUGGGGUAGUGGUUUACCGAGGCUGUGACGCGUAGCCGGCCCGGGAGGGCGACCGGCCACAGUGGGACUGAGAUACGGACCAGACUCCGACGGGAGGGAGCAGUGGGGAAUAUUGCACAAUGGGCGGAAGCCUGAUGCAGCAACGCCGCGGGCGGGAUGACGGCCUACGGGUUGUAAUCCGCAUUCAGCAGGGGCGAAGCUGGUGGUGACGGUACCUGCAGAAGAAGCACCGGCUAACUACGUG
RNAcentral lists this ribosomal RNA (465 nucleotides) under uncultured bacterium. RNAcentral's name for it is "partial 16S ribosomal RNA". It matches the Rfam family "Bacterial small subunit ribosomal RNA", at positions 28 to 507 of the family's 1533-position model. The record is from RNAcentral.